GACGAACGCUGGCGGCGUGCUUAACACAUGCAAGUCGAGCGGACAGGCCCUGCUUUUGUUGGUUGCUCGUUUGGCGCACAGGUGAGUAACACGCGUGUAACCUCCACUUAUCUGUGUGGUAUCUUCUCGGGACUCGGGAUCAUACCGGAUAUGAUCUCCUGCACCGUGUUGUUGGUUAGAAAGAGUCGGCGGUUCGGGAUGGACUCGCGGCUUAUCCGCUUGUUGGUGUAGUAGUGGCGUACGAGGCCUAUGACGGGUAGCCGGCCUGAGAGGGUGAACGGCCACAUUGGGACUGAGAGACGGACCAGACUCCUACGGGAGGCAGCAGUGGGGAAUAUGGCACAAUGGGCGGAAGCCUGAUGCAGCAACGCCGCGUGCGGGAUAACGUCCUUCGAGUUGUAAACCGAUUUCGCCUGUGAUGAAGAGUGCGUGACGGUAAUUGGUAAAGAAGCAACGGCUAACUACGUG
This 468-nucleotide ribosomal RNA is filed under the name uncultured bacterium. Its description in RNAcentral is "partial 16S ribosomal RNA". It matches the Rfam family "Bacterial small subunit ribosomal RNA", at positions 28 to 507 of the family's 1533-position model. The record is from RNAcentral.